CCUACGGGUGGCAGCAGUGAGGAAUAUUGGUCAAUGGCCGGAAGGCUGAACCAGCCAAGUCGCGUGAGGGAAGAAGGCGCAAAGCGUCGCAGACCUCUUUUGCCGGGGGGCAAAAGACCGGACUCGUCCGGUCCUGAGGGUACCCGGAGAAAAAGCAUCGGCUAACUCCGUGCCAGCAGCCGCGGUAAUACGGAGGAUGCGAGCGUUAUCCGGAUUCAUUGGGUUUAAAGGGUGCGCAGGCGGGCGUUUAAGCCGGAGGUGAAAUCGCGGGGCUCAACCCCGCCGAGCCGUCGGAACUGGGGGCCUUGAGAGCGGGGGAGGCAUGCGGGAGGCGCGGUGUAGCGGUGAAAU
Molecule: ribosomal RNA, 351 nt
Filed under: uncultured bacterium
Lineage: Bacteria
Description: partial 16S ribosomal RNA
Rfam family: Bacterial small subunit ribosomal RNA
Source: RNAcentral